Parasteatoda tepidariorum (common house spider) is the source of this 3147-nucleotide non-coding RNA. NCBI's taxonomy places the organism in Eukaryota, Metazoa, Arthropoda, Arachnida, Araneae, Theridiidae. The record is from RefSeq and is a predicted model, not a curated record.
CAGAAAAUAAUAUAGAAAAACUAACAAUUAAUAACUAUGAAAAACAAGCUAACAAUCUAUAAAUAGCAACAAAAAAAAGUUCACCUGUAAUUCAUCCUUUCAUAGACCUACUGUUUGAGUAGUACAUAUUUCAUUUCACAUUCAAAAUUAUAAUCAUAGACUAUUUUAUAAGUUUUUAAGUCAGCAAAUUUUAAACUUAUUUCUUUUCUUUGAGUGCCGUCAAAUUUCGAAAUAGUUAAAAAUGUACCGCGACGAAAAAAAGGUUGAGAAUUUUACUGCUCUAAAUGUUGAGUGGGAUAAAUCAGAUGUACGAUUGUUACUUAAUGUGCACAGAAUCCAACUUAUCUCUUGAAUAUGACUAGCUUACUUUGAUUUUCACAUAGCCCAGGUUUUUGAGCCACAUGCGAGCACAUGUCUAAUGAUAGUUUAAUAUAAUACGAUUUCUGUUUUUCAAUCAUUUGAUAAAAAAAUUCUUGUGGUGGCUCAGGGGAUGCAAUUCAAAUGAGGUGAUCGAUACGAAUUGUCCGUAUCCGGCAUACACCAACCCCUGUGUUGACGUUAAAUAUUCUCAGUGGUAGACGGAUCGUGGUUUAGAGCGCCUUUGCCGUCAGGCUAACAGUAGAAGGAUUUCGUGAUUUUCCUCUUGACUUAACUCAAAUGCGAGUUAGUUCCAUUAAAAAAGUCCUCAACUCACAACCUGCACAACUCACUUUUUAAGCAUUAAGGAUUUUUAACACUAUAAACGUUCACAAUUAAGACUUUCGUGUCUUGCGUUUUCGUCUGAUAUUUUCUAAAAACUCCUGACUGGGCGAUGUCGUUGUAAAACACAGAUUAACGUGUUAUGAAACGGAAAUAUUCAAUGGAGUGGUCUGAACAAGUGUGAAAUCCGAAUUGGGAGUGGUAAACGGCCGUUCUUCUCCCUCUUCGAGCCUCAUACUUGUUCAGCCGUUUCGGAACUUUUCCGUUCUUUCGACUACGGUGCAGUAAGAACCAGGGUGUCAAAAGAACUGGGUGGUCCUGGACUGUGCUGCUAGCCCACAUGUCCGUGACCCUAAGUCACUGAAGAACUCUGGUGCUUACAGCUAAAUAUAUUUGGCUUUAAAAUUAUUUAAAUUAUUAUCCCGCUCAAAUUAAAAUCUAAAGGGCUGAGGUAGGAUAGAGUAAGGUCCUGGAAUGUAACUAAAGCUUGCAAGUCCGUGCCCUGAAAAACCACCCAGCCCUUUACUAACGUUUAAUCUUAGAACAAGAACGUUUAUAGUGCUUGUAAUUUAUCAAUUUAGACUUUCAUAAUAUUUUUCUAGCUAAGGGGAAAAGCGUUUCUCUUGUGUUAGAUUAGUUAAGUGAUAGUUGCAUUGUGAGAAUGUUAACGAUGUUAUUUUAAAUUUGAACUAAACUUUAAUCGGUUUCUUAAGAUUAGCUUCUAAAGUCUUGAUAUCUGUACGAAUAAGAAUUUUUUGACACAGAAAUUAUUAAUUUAAAAUAUAGUUUUGAAGAUUCUGGGAGCAAUGUAAAGCAACCAUUCAUGAAAGCACAUGUGUACAAUGAACUUCGUAAGCUGUAUAAAUCUGUUAUGAACAGCUGUAUAAAGCUGUAUAAGCUGUAUAAAUCUGUAUCGAAUUUGAACUGUAUCGAAGAGAACAAAUCCUCCUUAAUGUUCAGAAUAUUAAAAUAAAUUGGAACCUGAACAAGAAUUUUCAACAAUUUUCAACAAUUUUUUUCAACAAAAAAUUUUUUUCCUGAACAGAAUCAAUUUUUUAACGGAUGAAAACACCGAUGUCAAGAUAGGAAAAUGCUGCAAAAUAUAUAGUUAAAUUUAAAACUUGUUCGAUUUAAAGAGUAUUCAAAGUGUUUACCAUUAUUUUUAUAGAUUGAUUUAUACUUCUGACCGUUUCAUUUCUAAAUUAAAACUGAACUGGACUUCUAUCUUUGUUUGCUUUCUUUUGAUUUUUGUUAAAAUCAACAUCCUUUAGAAUUGAUAAAAGAGUUAAAAUAUGGAUAAAAAGCGCAAAAUAAAAAUUAAUAAUAUGUAAGCCAAUGAAGCAUUUUCUCAUAUUCUGAUAACAUAUAAAGUACUUCUUACUAUAUUUAAUAUUGUAUAUAUAUACUAAUAUAUAAUAUAUACUAACUAUACUAUCACUUGUAUUUAACUAAUCUACUGUGAUACUUUUAUUACUGCAGAUAUUCUAAUAUUGUUCAAUGAUUUAAUUUAUCUCAAACAAUAUUAGUUUUGAAUAUAGGUUUUAUCUGCCUUAUUAUUGGAUUAAAUUAUGCUUAAUUCAGCCUUUUUUGUGUGCAUCGGUACUGCUUCUGUCUCUGGUAUUUUUCAGAAUCUUCUUCUUGAUAUGCUGCUGAUGUGAACACGCUUUGGGGAGCUGAAAUUGCAAAAGAUGGAAAGUUUCGAAGAAAGCAUCUGACUAAUCUCUGAAAAGCGGAAGUUGUUUUCUGAUGUGUUGCUGCCUACUUUCAAUUAACUUGCUGGCCUAGUAGAGAAUAAAUUUUGCGCCAUUCUCCAGAUUCAAGUGUUGCCGAGAUUUAAAAGGAAAUUGAAAGGGCCAUUUUGUAUUUCUCAAAUGAGAUGAGACUGAUCUGUUCCUCGAAGAUUAUUUCAUUCCCAAAGAAGUGGCUCAAGUUAAUCUCAGAACUUUCUGGUCUACGUAAAAUAUCCUGAUUCGUGCGUUAAAAUCCCCAUACCGUCGAGCUAACCGUGGAAGGUUUUCAUGGUUCCCUCUCCAUGUAACGCAAAUGCGGGUUAGUUGCAGCGUAAGUCCUCCAUGAAGGCUAUUUCGAUCCAGGAGUUCUCUCGUCUUCUGGUUUCAAGUGUGCGAUCUUAUGGAGCUGAACAGUCAUAAUUGUAAACCCAGAAAUGAGUAUGCCAUCCAACCCUGGUUGAGCAGUAAAUUAAAUUCAGUUGGAUAUCUCUUUUUGCACUAAGCAAACUUGUUGGAAAGUUUUCGAGAACAGACUUCCGUGGUUCCUACUCUAAACCCUGCAAUGACAAUUAACGCCUUUCGAAUUUUUCAAGCUGGCAUUGUAGAUGUUGUUCAAUUUUGUUAUUUAUGUAAGACUUCUUUUACAUAAUGCAUAGUUACAUGCAAUUCUGUGUCUUGUUCUACUCUUAUUAGCCAUGAAUAAAUAGCUUAUUCUUGA